GUUAUGAAAACAAGUAUCGUUGGAUGUGGGCGGUACCUUUGCGGUACCUUAUCCAGAAAAGUCACGGUUAAUAAGGUGCCAGCAGCCGCGGUAAUACGUAAGGUGGCAACCGUUGUCCUGGAAUUAUUGGGGGUAAAGGGCUCGCAGGCGGGUUCCUUAAGUUUGAUGUGAAAGCCCCCGGCUCAACCCGGGGAGGGUCAUUGGAAACUGGGGAACUUGAGUGCAGAAGAGGAGAGUGGAAUUCCACGUGUAGCGGUGAAAUGCGUAGAGAUGUGGAGGAACACCAGUGGCGAAGGCGACUCUCUGGUCUGUAACUGACGCUGAGGAGCGAAAAGCGUGGGGAGCGAACAGGAUUAGAUACCCUGGUAGUCCACGCCGUAAAACGAUGAGUGCUAAGUGUUAGGGGGUUUCCGCCCCUUAGUGCUGCAGCUAACGCAUUAAGCACUCCGCCUGGGGAGUACGGUCGCAAGACUGAAACUCAAAGGAAUUGACGGGGGCCCGCACAAGCGGUGGAGCAUGUGGUUUAAUUUGAAGCAACGCGAAGAACCUUACCAGGUCUUGACAUCCUCUGACAAUCCUAGAGAUAGGACGUCCCCUUCGGGGGCAGAGUGACAGGUGGUGCAUGGUUGUCGUCAGCUCGUGUCGUGAGAUGUUGGGUUAAGUCCCGCAACGAGCGCAACCCUUGAUCUUAGUUGCCAGCAUUCAGUUGGGCACUCUAAGGUGACUGCCGGUGACAAACCGGAGGAAGGUGGGGAUGACGUCAAAUCAUCAUGCCCCUUAUGACCUGGGCUACACACGUGCUACAAUGGACAGAACAAAGGGCAGCGAAACCGCGAGGUUAAGCCAAUCCCACAAAUCUGUUCUCAGUUCGGAUCGCAGUCUGCAACUCGACUGCGUGAAGCUGGAAUCGCUAGUAAUCGCGGAUCAGCAUGCCGCGGUGAAUACGUUCCCGGGCCUUGUACACACCGCCCGUCACACCACGAGAGUUUGUAACACCCGAAGUCGGUGAGGUAACCUUUAUGGAGCCAGCCGCCGAAGGUGGGACAGAUGAUUGGGGUGAAGUCGUAACAAGUAGCCUUUGG
Molecule: ribosomal RNA, 1082 nt
Filed under: Bacillus subtilis
Lineage: Bacteria; Bacillati; Bacillota; Bacilli; Caryophanales; Bacillaceae
Description: bacterial SSU rRNA
Rfam family: Bacterial small subunit ribosomal RNA
Source: RNAcentral